UACGUAGGGGGCAAGCGUUAUCCGGAAUCAUUGGGCGUAAAGCGCGUGUAGGCGGUUCCGUAAGUCCGCUCUGAAAGCCCAGGGCUCAACCCUGGGAGGCGGGUGGAUACUACGGAACUGGAGUACGGAAGAGGAGAUUGGAAUUCCUGGUGUAGCGGUGAAAUGCGCAGAUAUCAGGAGGAACACCAACAGCGAAGGCAGAUCUCUGGGACGCUACUGACGCUGAGACGCGAAAGCGUGGGGAGCAAACAGG
RNAcentral lists this ribosomal RNA (253 nucleotides) under uncultured bacterium. RNAcentral's name for it is "partial 16S ribosomal RNA". It matches the Rfam family "Bacterial small subunit ribosomal RNA", at positions 524 to 776 of the family's 1533-position model. The record is from RNAcentral.